This 73-nucleotide transfer RNA is filed under the name Pteropus alecto (black flying fox). It matches the Rfam family "tRNA". From Rfam's summary of the family: Transfer RNA (tRNA) molecules are approximately 80 nucleotides in length. Their secondary structure includes four short double-helical elements and three loops (D, anti-codon, and T loops). Lineage: Eukaryota; Metazoa; Chordata; Mammalia; Chiroptera; Pteropodidae. The record is from Rfam by way of RNAcentral. RNAcentral also lists the same sequence under 1 other name.
GGUUCCAUUGUGUAGCGGUUAGCACUUCUGCUUUACACACAGAAGGUCCCGAGUUUGCACCCCAGUGGAGCCA